AGCUAGUUGGUGAGGUAACGGCCCACCAAGGCGACGAUCGGUAGCCGGACUGAGAGGUUGAACGGCCACAUUGGGACUGAGACACGGCCCAGACUCCUACGGGAGGCAGCAGUGGGGAAUAUUGCACAAUGGGGGAAACCCUGAUGCAGCGACGCCGCGUGGAGGAAGAAGGUCUUCGGAUUGUAAACUCCUGUUGUUGGGGAAGAUAAUGACGGUACCCAACAAGGAAGUGACGGCUAACUACGUGCCAGCAGCCGCGGUAAAACGUAGGUCACAAGCGUUGUCCGGAAUUACUGGGUGUAAAGGGAGCGCAGGCGGGAAGACAAGUUGGAAGUGAAAUCUAUGGGCUCAACCCAUAAACUGCUUUCAAAACUGUUUUUCUUGAGUAGUGCAGAGGUAGGCGGAAUUCCCGGUGUAGCGGUGGAAUGCGUAGAUAUCGGGAGGAACACCAGUGGCGAAGGCGGCCUUGGGCACCAACUGACGCUGAGGCUCGAAAGUGUGGGUAGCAAACAGGAUUAGAUACCCUGGUAGUCCACACCGUAAACGAUGAUUACUAGGUGUUGGAGGAUUGACCCCUUCAGUGCCGCAGUUAACACAAUAAGUAAUCCACCUGGGGAGUACGACCGCAAGGUUGAAACUCAAAGGAAUUGACGGGGGCCCGCACAAGCAGUGGAGUAUGUGGCUUAAUUCGACGCAACGCGAAGAACCUUACCAAGUCUUGACAUCCCUUGACGAUGCUGGAAACAGUAUUUCUCUUCGGAGCAAGGAGACAGGUGGUGCAUGGUUGUCGUCAGCUCGUGUCGUGAGAUGUUGGGUUAAGUCCCGCAACGAGCGCAACCCUUAUGGUCAGUUACUACACAAGAGGACUCUGGCCAGACUGCCGUUGACAAAACGGAGGAAGGUGGGGAUGACGUCAGAUCAUCAUGCCCUUUAUGACUUGGGCUACACACGUACUACAAUGGCGUUAAACAAAGAGAAGCAAGACCGCGAGGUGGAGCAAAACUCAGAAACAACGUCCCAGUUCGGACUGCAGGCUGCAACUCGCCUGCACGAAGUCGGAAUUGCUAGUAAUCGUGGAUCAGCAUGCCACGGUGAAUACGUUCCCGGGCCUUGUACACACCGCCCGUCACACCAUGAGAGCCGGGGGGACCCGAAGUCGGUAGUCUAACCGUAAGGAGGACGCCGCCGAAGGUAAAACUGGUGAUUGGGGUGAAGUCGUAACAAGGUAGCCGUAGGAGAACCUGCGGCUG
This 1250-nucleotide ribosomal RNA is filed under the name metagenome. Its description in RNAcentral is "bacterial SSU rRNA". It matches the Rfam family "Bacterial small subunit ribosomal RNA", at positions 243 to 1520 of the family's 1533-position model. The record is from RNAcentral.